AUGGUGCGACGCCGCGUGAGGGAUGAAGGUCUUCGGAUUGUAAACCUCUGUCACUAGGGAGAAAACGCUUUGAGUUAACAGUUUAAAGCCUGAUUUAACCUGGAGAGGAAGCAGUGGCUAACUCUGUGCCAGCAGCCGCGGUAAUACAGAGACUGCAAGCGUUAUUCGGAUUCACUGGGCGUAAAGGGUGCGCAGGCGGCCGUGUGUGUAAGGUGUGAAAUCCCGGGGCUCAACCCCGGAACUGCGCCUUAAACUACAUGGCUAGAGUAUUGGAGAGGGUAGUGGAAUUCACGGUGUAGCAGUGAAAUGCGUAGAUAUCGUGAGGAACACCAGAGGCGAAGGCGACUACCUGGACAAUUACUGACGCU
This 368-nucleotide ribosomal RNA is filed under the name uncultured Oscillatoria sp. RNAcentral describes it as "bacterial SSU rRNA". It matches the Rfam family "Bacterial small subunit ribosomal RNA", at positions 386 to 747 of the family's 1533-position model. The record is from RNAcentral. Lineage: Bacteria; Bacillati; Cyanobacteriota; Cyanophyceae; Oscillatoriales; Oscillatoriaceae.